GAUUGGUUGUGAGGAAAAGCUGACGACUGCAGCAUGGAGUGCGUUAUUACCUUGUGAUUCGUUGACCCUCCUCUCUGCAUCCCUAACUCAUGAAAGCUGAUUCAGCUUUCAGCAACAGCAGUAGAGUCAGCUCUGCUGUGAGAGAAUCUACAAACUGGAGCAUUUCCAUAUUCAAAGAAUGUCCAGGACUCACUUUCUUCUCACAUGAAGUACACAACCAACAGCAAUGACACUAUGAGAGCCCAAUGAAUUUCUUUUCAGCAGCUUCCUUGAUUUUUCUUCCAGUGGAUGUAUUAGGGUAUUGAUUGUGUUGGAAGCUAACUCAGUCCAGCGUUCUUAUAUGGUGGUUGUAUCUAAUAUGAACCCACCAUUCAAGAGUGAUGUAAAGUACGUUUCUGCUGCAGGACAAGUAUAUUCUCCUAAUGGUGCUGCUAGCAACAAUGGUGCAAAUAUUAUUCAACUACAUGACACACCUGUUGUAGCUGGACCUUCAUUUUUUCCUGAACACACCGCCAUACCUGGAGUACUGUCUACAGUUCAGAGAGCAUACGAGGUGAGCGAGACCCAGCAGCUGGAAGGAGUGCAGAAAAAACUUACCAAAUGUGGUGUGGAUGAAGGUGAAAAAAUAUGACCUCAGACUAAAACAGGUAGAACUCUACUCACUGCAAAACAGAUGAGAAAGCAUCGACAUGGUUUGAGUUGACAAGAAUGACAGAGGGGUGGGAGGGACUACAGACCAUGGAUUGCAUUGAUUAAAUCCUUUCUGGUCUCCAAAAAUACAUCUUCAUGAAGAGAGCAGUGGACCCAUGGAAUGAGCUACAGAAAUGGAUGGUGGAAAGAAACCCUACAGAGUUAUUUAAGAAGACAUAAGAUAAGUGAAAUGAAGGUGAGGAGGAAAUAGGGAUGGAGAAAAGGGAAGAUUGUUAAAGGCACUUAAAAGGCAGACUGCACAGAAUCACUGCCUCCUGACAUCAGGGAACUAUAACAACGUUUUCUUACACUUACAUUUCAAAUAGCAUUGGCUUACCAGAUUUUACAUCUCCUGCUUUAAAAAAAAAGCAAAUAAUUUGUUCAAGCUCAUUAAAAAGUAAUUAACAAUGA
Molecule: long non-coding RNA, 1101 nt
Organism: Protopterus annectens (West African lungfish)
Lineage: Eukaryota; Metazoa; Chordata; Ceratodontiformes; Protopteridae
Exons: 3
Source: RefSeq, a predicted model, not a curated record